AUGGGGGGGACCUGUACAUUGGUCCUUACCCUCAUCUGAUAGAUACAUCACCGAAUCAUCCUAGGACCUUCUGUCUAAGAGAAAGGAGCUUACAACUUCAGUUACAUGCUCUUAGCAAAUCUAUGUCAUGCUGUGCAGUGGAAAGGCUGUGCGUGUACUUGUUGAGCUCCAGGACCAUCACAGAGUAUGAGAGCCAGGUGAUCUGGUCCCAGAGAACAGACAUGGAGAAGGCUGCCAAACUGCUCCAGGUGGUGCUGAAGAAGGGUCGCAACGCCUGUCUUCUCUUUUUCGACUCACUAGAAAAGUGUUGCCAGUGCCCACCACAGUUCGAAAGAGUUACCGGUCUCCCAGGUAAGUCUCUUCAAAAGUGUACAUUUUUUCAUUUGAUUAAUUGCAAAUAAAUGACUUUGGCCUACAUGUCUAUAGUUUUCAUGUAGUUUUCAUCAACAUUUAAAUAUGGUUAUGAAUAGUCUAGGCUUACGGUGAUUUUGUGAUUCUAAUUCAAAUAAAGGUUAUACAAAAUAAAAUAAAAAUAGUCAUGUUAUGUGGUAUAUAGAGAGGUAGGCUAACUUGGCCUAGAUUGCAGCACGUUUUCUCUGUAGUAUAUGGUAUAUGUUAUGUAUAUGGUAAGCCGAAUUCUACCUCACUUUACCUUUUGGAAGCACUGGAAACCCAGCACCAUUUGGUGUCCGAUGCAGGUGAGGCCCAAGAAUGUUCCAGAACCUCAAGAAUGUUCCAUUCCUCAUAUAAAAUCCUUUUUUUUAUAGGUAAAGUGUAGGCUUACAUAUAAAUGGUUUCUCCACGUGUCCAAAACUAAAGCUCAUGGAAGGUUUUUACAGUAUGUCAUCAUCAUGACGCAACGGGAAUCGCCGGGAUACUAUUGUCAACAACAGACUAUUUCCCAUUUUCAACCUCUUCCCUUUUUUCUCACAUCCCAAACAACAGAGAGGAGGAGGACCAACACUGCCCCAACUUACGUCAUCAACAUCAGCCAUUCCAAUUUGAGUAACUGCAUCAUUGGAGAUGGCAACUUUCAAGGAGUGACAACGUGUAUACAACAACCUCAGAGCAUGGGUUCAGAGGAUGCUAGGCAUGAGACAAUGGGAGGCAACAUCACCAGUGAUCACCAGAGAGCAGUACAGGCCUGUCUAGAUCCAGAGCUCCAGAGGAGUGUCCAGGUCUAUGGGUCCCAACUGCAGUAUGUCAUCAUCGGGGACAACAACAACCUGCAAGCUGAAGACACACCGGAAGAGGAAGAAGGGGAAGAAGAAAAACUCAUUAAUGAAAGUAACUGA
RNAcentral lists this long non-coding RNA (1295 nucleotides) under Oncorhynchus kisutch (coho salmon). Its description in RNAcentral is "lncRNA (ENSOKIG00005037743.1)". Lineage: Eukaryota; Metazoa; Chordata; Actinopteri; Salmoniformes; Salmonidae. The record is from RNAcentral.